This 553-nucleotide ribosomal RNA is filed under the name uncultured archaeon. RNAcentral's name for it is "bacterial SSU rRNA". It matches the Rfam family "Archaeal small subunit ribosomal RNA", at positions 326 to 879 of the family's 1478-position model. The record is from RNAcentral.
CGGGGUGCACCAGGCGCGAAAACUUUACAAUGCUGGCAACAGCGAUAAGGGGACCUCGAGUGCCAGGAUACAAUCUUGGCUGUCGCGAUGCCUAAAAAGCAUUGCAUAGCAAGGGCCGGGCAAGACCGGUGCCAGCCGCCGCGGUAACACCGGCGGCUCGAGUGGUAACCGCUAUUAUUGGGUCUAAAGGGUCUGUAGCCGGCCGGAUAAGUCUCUUGGGAAAUCCAGCAGCUCAACUGUUGGGCUUUCAGGAGAUACUGUUCGGCUCGAGACCGGGAGGGGUGAGAGGUACUUCAGGGGUAGGGGUGAAAUCUUGUAAUCCUUGAAGGACCACCAGUGGCGAAGGCGUCUCACCAGAACGGAUCUGACGGCAAGGGACGAAAGCUAGGGGCACGAACCGGAUUAGAUACCCGGGUAGUCCUAGCCGUAAACGAUACUCGCUAGGUGUCAGCCACGGUGCGACCGUGGUUGGUGCCGUAGGGAAGCCGUGAAGCGAGCCACCUGGGAAGUACGGCCGCAAGGCUGAAACUUAAAGGAAUUGGCGGGGGAGCAC